AGAUUGAACGCUGGCGGCAUGCCUUACACAUGCAAGUCGAACGGUAGAGUAGCAAUACUUGAGAGUGGCGAACGGGUGAGUAAUAUAUCGGAACGUGCCCAGUCGUGGGGGAUAACGUAGAGAAAUUUACGCUAAUACCGCAUACGAUCUAAGGAUGAAAGCGGGGACCGUAAGGCUCGCGCGAUUGGAGCGGCUGAUAUCAGAUUAGGUUGUUGGUGAGGUAAAAGCUCACCAAGCCGACGAUCUGUAGCUGGUUUGAGAGAACGACCAGCCACACUGGGACUGAGACACGGCCCAGACUCCUACGGGAGGCAGCAGUGGGGAAUUUUGGACAAUGGGCGAAAGCCUGAUCCAGCAAUGCCGCGUGCAGGAAGAAGGCCUUCGGUUGUAAACUGCUUUUGUACGGAACGAAACGUCUGCUUUAAUACAGUGGCUAAUAGACGUACCGUAAGAAUAAGACACGGCUAAUACGUGCCAGCAGCCG
RNAcentral lists this ribosomal RNA (484 nucleotides) under uncultured soil bacterium. RNAcentral's name for it is "bacterial SSU rRNA". It matches the Rfam family "Bacterial small subunit ribosomal RNA", at positions 26 to 517 of the family's 1533-position model. The record is from RNAcentral.